AUUUAUUCUUGAUCUUACAGCACAAG
This 26-nucleotide unclassified non-coding RNA is filed under the name Mus musculus (house mouse). RNAcentral's name for it is "oocyte_clustered_small_RNA5864". Lineage: Eukaryota; Metazoa; Chordata; Mammalia; Rodentia; Muridae. The record is from RNAcentral.